RNAcentral lists this long non-coding RNA (224 nucleotides) under Eutrema salsugineum. RNAcentral describes it as "long non-coding RNA (ESAL_LNC000525)". The record is from RNAcentral. Lineage: Eukaryota; Viridiplantae; Streptophyta; Magnoliopsida; Brassicales; Brassicaceae.
UUUUUUUAACAAAAGAGGAAAGAGAAAACAAGAGAAAACAAAACUUAAGUCUUGGAAAAAACCCUAAAAAGCAUAUAUAGUGUCUCUUGCGGACCGGGUCAGCCCAGGACAAACUGGGUCCUGACCCGGCCUUGAUGGAUAGUGGUGUGGUUUGCCACGGUCAGAUGAUGCUUGGACAGACCGUGGAAAACUGACCGUGGCAAACUGAUAGUGUCAAAGUUCUU